GUGCUUGCGUCAGUAGCAUGUAUACUUAAAAUUGAAAUGAUACAGAGAAGAUUAGCACAGGAUGAUAUGCAAAUUCAUGAAGCAUUCCAUAUUAAA
Small nuclear RNA from Ictidomys tridecemlineatus (thirteen-lined ground squirrel), 96 nucleotides. The record is from Ensembl. NCBI's taxonomy places the organism in Eukaryota, Metazoa, Chordata, Mammalia, Rodentia, Sciuridae.